UUUUCAAUUCUUUGUGAAGCAGUUUGAAUGGCACAACAUCAAAGGAGAAAUAUUAUGCUCAUAUUCAGGUUGAUAAUUUUAAUGUGGGUUAUGACUUGAAAAGGUUUACAUGUUCUAAUGUUCAGUAAACACAUCAGUUUCCUGCAGCUCCUCUUGGUUUUAGGUCAUGUCUCUUUAAGGCCCCUGCCUCCCGAUGAAGCCCAGUCUACUCUGAUUGGCCAGCUGGCUCCACUCUGUUGUGAUUGGUCAACCGCUUCCAGCGUGAGUAGGAAGUUGACUCGCUCUCACUUGUUGCGGGUGGGCAUAUCAGACUAGCGGCUAGAUAUGAUUGAUGCACUUCCGUAACAUCGUGACAUCACAGUUAUUCUGUGAUGCCUCCGUUGUCCUCAAGUGAGAAGCAAUUGAAGAAGAGUGAAAUGCAGUUGAAAGCUCUGGUGUCCACGGCGGCGAGGAGGCGGCGAGGAGGCGGAGUUCAUUGGUGUGUAAUAAAAGUAAGCUCUGGAGGAAAAUGUGACAGAUGUGGAGGAGGGCCCGUAUGUGCCAGCGAGGGGAAAGCGAGAGUGGGGACUGUCAGACAUGUCGACUCCGGCGCAGUGAUGGAUGGAGAGUGAGGUAAGACGGAUGACAUCGUCUGUCUGAGGCCAUGUUGUCAUAGCGGAGGAUUGCCGCUUGUCUCAACCUCUCAAUAUCAGAGAGCAAACUGAAGUUUGUUUACACUGCUCCAGUGGAGUGAUUUAGAAUGAGGGGCGAGGGGGACGUGGGUGGAGAAGGUAUGCCUCGCUGCAGGGUCGGAUCAGGUUUCCAAACAUUCCCUUUGAAAUCGAAUAGCAGCCAUCCCGGGCCUGCCGUUUUUUGUGUUUUUUUUCUAACUCAACCAGCCACAGUUCGGUUUACAAUCCUCAGAGGUAGAGACGAGUCCAAACACAAACACAAACAAGAGAGAAAAUGAAAAUAUCAAUAUCACUCAUUUGGUCUUUUACAUCCCAACAUUAGUCAUCAGCAUCCAAAUCUGGAUUCUGGCCAGUGAAACAAUGAAAAAAAGGGAAAAUAAGAAUUUGAGUGAAUUGCUGCCUCUAGUUUGACAAGGAGCCAAAAUAAAGGGAAAAAAAGUAGAGCAGCUUCUUUUGUGUUAUUAGUUCAUGUCAAGAAGAUUAUUAUCUCCCUGUGAAGGUAAGUGAAACACGUCCAUGUAGUCUUUUAAGGUUUGCAUCCUUUAUAUGUAAUGCUCAGUUUCAAAAAGGCAUCAUGGGAAAUGGCCUUUUCAAACCAAGUCCACAGCUGAUUGAUUUACGGUGUAAACAAUAAGACGUCCUGGUGAAAUGAUAAAAAAAGUGACAACAUCCCCGGAGAUGAACUCGCUGAACACUGUUCAUGACAACAUGGAGGUG
This 1388-nucleotide long non-coding RNA is filed under the name Scophthalmus maximus (turbot). RNAcentral describes it as "lncRNA (ENSSMAG00000037982.1)". The record is from RNAcentral. Lineage: Eukaryota; Metazoa; Chordata; Actinopteri; Pleuronectiformes; Scophthalmidae.